UGCCAGACUCCUACGGGAGGCAGCAGUGAGGAAUAUUGGUCAAUGGGCGGGAGCCUGAACCAGCCAAGUCGCGUGAGGGAUGACGGCCCUAUGGGUUGUAAACCUCUUUUGCCGGGGAGCAAAGUGCCGCACGUGUGCGGUUUGGAGAGUACCCGGAGAAAAAGCAUCGGCUAACUCCGUGCCAGCAGCCGCGGUAAUACGGGGGGUGCAAGCGUUGUCCGGAAUCAUUGGGCGUAAAGCGUUCGUAGGCGGUAUGUCAAGUCUGAUGUUAAAGCCCGGGGCUCAACUCCGGUUCGGCAUUGGAUACUGGCAAACUAGAAUGUGGUAGAGGUAAAGGGAAUUCCUGGUGUAGCGGUGAAAUGCGUAGAUAUCAGGAGGAACAUCGGUGGCGAAAGCGCUUUACUGGACCAUUAUUGACGCUGAGGAACGAAAGCCAGGGGAGCAAAUGGGAUUAGAUACCCCCGUAG
This 467-nucleotide ribosomal RNA is filed under the name uncultured bacterium. RNAcentral describes it as "bacterial SSU rRNA". It matches the Rfam family "Bacterial small subunit ribosomal RNA", at positions 329 to 793 of the family's 1533-position model. The record is from RNAcentral.